This is a small nuclear RNA of Erinaceus europaeus (western European hedgehog), 106 nucleotides long. The record is from Ensembl. NCBI's taxonomy places the organism in Eukaryota, Metazoa, Chordata, Mammalia, Eulipotyphla, Erinaceidae.
GCCCUCACAUCAAAGGAACAUGUGCCAAAAUUGGAAGGCUACAAAAAAGUAAGCAUGGCCCCUGUUUAAGAAUGACUAACAGAUCCAUGAAUUAUGACAUAUUUUU